GCUGGUGUAGCUCAAUUGGUAGAGCAGCUGAUUUGUAAUCAGCAGGUCGCGGGUUCGAAUCCCAUCACCAGCU
This is a transfer RNA of Alkaliphilus metalliredigens QYMF, 73 nucleotides long. It matches the Rfam family "tRNA". From Rfam's summary of the family: Transfer RNA (tRNA) molecules are approximately 80 nucleotides in length. Their secondary structure includes four short double-helical elements and three loops (D, anti-codon, and T loops). The record is from Rfam. NCBI's taxonomy places the organism in Bacteria, Bacillati, Bacillota, Clostridia, Peptostreptococcales, Natronincolaceae.